RNAcentral lists this ribosomal RNA (1827 nucleotides) under Triticum aestivum (bread wheat). Its description in RNAcentral is "partial small subunit ribosomal RNA". Lineage: Eukaryota; Viridiplantae; Streptophyta; Magnoliopsida; Poales; Poaceae. The record is from RNAcentral.
AUGGAGUCAGGCUCUGAUGACGGGAGCAACAGCAGCAGCAGCAGCUGCCCCCCUGGCAUCGCGGCCUUGCGCUCAGGUCGUACUGUUGCUGGUGGAAAGAACAAGUCUGCACCAAGUCGUAGGCAGAGAGUGACUACUGACUUAAGCAUAUAUUCAGACCUUUCCUGCCGCAGGGCACCCGCCCCACCUCGGCUCCAGGGGGUUCUCCAAAAGGAUUCAGCUAAGGAGCUUGGGCAGGCUUGGGCCAAGUUUUUCCAUGCCAAUGGCAUUCCUGGGGAGAAAGCCGACUGCCCGCAUUUCCAAGAGGCCAUGAGAUUGACGCAACAACUUGGUCCGGUGGUUCAGGACGUUCCUACAGGUUCAGAAAUUGAUUGGCCAUGCCUGCAGUCCGAGUAUGACGAAUUGAUGGAGCGUGUGACCGAAUGGAAAGGUUGGUGGGAUCUGUAUGGUGUUACUGUGAUGUGUGACUCAUGGAUAGGACCUACUGGGACAACCAUCGUAAACUUCAUGAUCUCCUGCGAUAGGUGCAUGUACUUUCACAAGUCUGUUGAUGCCACCGGACGCAUGCAGAGUGUUCCGUAUCUCUAUGAAUUGAUUAGGAAGGUGGUUGUGGAGGAGAUUGGGCAAGGCUUCGUAGUUCAAAUUGUGACACAGAAUGGAUCAAACUUCAAGGAAGCGUGCGGGCAACUCAUCAAGGAGUAUCUGCACAUUGUUUGGCAGCCAUGUGCGGCUCAUACUGUUAAUCUCAUGCUGAUGGAAAUUGGAAAUAUCCCCAAGGUUGAUGCGGUGCUCUCCAGUGCCAAGCGGAUAUAUAGGUUUUUCUAUAGUUAUUCUGAACCUCUGCACGCUCAAAUGAAAACCAAGAUUGGUGGAGAGUUGAUCCCACCCAAUGCCGCAAGGGAGUAUGACUGCUUGAUAAGGUGCUCCUGGUGGGAAGAUGUCAAAUGGGUACUAGAUAGAAUCCGACCACUUUAUGCCAUACUUCAGCACGCAGACUCACCUAAGACUAGGUCAAUUUCUGGAUUUAUGCCUAGAAUGAUUGCUGCUAGGGAUGAAUUACAAUCUCUUUUCCCGGAGGGUUCAGAAGAUUUGAACGAUUUCAUGGAUGUGGUUGACAGGAGGGUUGCAGAUCUAUAUGAUGGCACUCUUAUGAUUGCAGCUGGUGUGCUUGAUCCUGAAGCCCACUACAAGCAUGAUCUUGCAAGCAAUCCAGAUUACAUGCAAGCAUUCACGAUGGCAAUUGAGAAGGUUGCAGAAUCACCUGCAAAUGCAGUGGCGGCACUGGACCAGUUCGAAACUUUUCGUUCUUCUAGCGGGAGGUGCGAGCGAAACUGGAGCACAUAUGCAUUGAUGCAUGCACAAGCGACAAAUCAGCUUACCUCUGAAAAGCUUCACAAGUUGGUCUAUGUCCGAUACAAUCUUAACCUGCGGUUCGAACAAUCUAAAACAGAUAAGGAAGAAAAGGAUGGCAAGGGGAAAAAAGAGCUCGAUCUUUGCAGAUUGAUGAUGGAUGUUGCACUAUAUGAUAAAGAAAACCCUAUCAUGGAUUGGCUGAAAAACCCCGGGAGUGCAUCCUUGACUUCACUGGAUGAAAAAGAUGAAUGUGAUCUCCCUACACCAUCUAGGGCUGUGAUUGGUAUGUUAUGCAAAGGGAAAUCAAGUGAAGAUGUCCUUGACAAGCCAAUCGGGGUUUUGGAAUUGAAGAGGAACUGCACCCUCUCCAGCAGGAAGCAAAAGAGGAAAAGGGGGGAGAUGGCUACUGAUAAUAAUGGUUCGUUGCACGGAAUGUCUACUAGGAAAAAGACGAAGGAUCUCUCCAGCCUCUAG